AAGCUCUGCUUGGUCUUGGGCCCACGUCCGUUAGGGCGCGCCCGAAAAUCAGUGGCGGUCCGGCCGAACUUCAAGCGUGUUCGAGAAGCAACCGUGUGUUGCCCGCUUUGGAAGUCUCGCGGCUCCCGGGCCCGCCAGCGAAACCCCGUCGUCCUCGCACCGUCGACCUCGGAUCAGGUAGGGAUACCCGCUGAACUUAA
This 200-nucleotide unclassified non-coding RNA is filed under the name soil metagenome. RNAcentral's name for it is "partial contains internal transcribed spacer 2 and large subunit ribosomal RNA". The record is from RNAcentral.